Molecule: long non-coding RNA, 3334 nt
Organism: Homo sapiens (human)
Lineage: Eukaryota; Metazoa; Chordata; Mammalia; Primates; Hominidae
Source: Ensembl
GCAAUUCAUCAGGAGUGGAGGGGCAUGUGCAGGAUCGCCAUGUAACGUGAAUCCUGAUUCCACGUUUGCCUUUUGUGGUCGGCUUUACAAAGUGGAAAUGCUUCCAGUCGGUUUUAUGACCUGCAGCCACCUGCCGGAGGAAGCUUCUGACAACCAGGCUUUCAAAAAGGCAGGAUUGGUUUGUUUGUUUGUCCUGUGGGAUCCUCCUCUCUCCUAUUAAUCUCCAAUCAGCUAAUGGCAUCAAAAGAUCGCCCUGGGUAGGAAGCAAUGUGAUAAAGGACAGGUGAAGGAAGUCAAGGAGAGAAAUGAUGUGGAAGGCUGGAGGGGAGGCUCCCACCCACAGACACAGGGGCCACAGUCGGCCCUGGACACACAGAACACCUUUAAGAAGGCAUAAGAACUGGAAACCUGAAAUUACUUUCUUCUGACAUUGUCUCUUUCUGGAUCUGCUCAGCUGGAAAGCCCAAUGCAGAGCGAUUUGUCUUUGUUCUGACUUCUGUUGUAUUCCAUGUAAAGCCAUCACCCCAGGAGACUCGAAUUUCCUGUGGAUGUUGAUGUGCCCAUAUCUGCAGUGACAAAUCAAUUCAAAGAUACAAAUGCAGUUUUGUUAUAUGCACAUAUUGCCUACUGGUGAAGUCUGUGCUUUCAGGGUACCCAUCACCGGAACAGCAAACAUUGUACCCAAUAGAACUUCCUGCAUGUGGGGCUCUGAUGACUUCCCUGAGGCCUGACGACCCAUGAUCUCCCAGUCCAAGAGCUUCACGGAGCUCCAAGGCCUUGUUCUGCACUUCCAGGGGCAGGCUGUCAGCUGCCCAGCAAAAUGGGGAUGCACAGUGUGGCUAGGGAGAAGGGGUUGCACGCAGCAAUACAGUGUUCUUCAGCCUUCCAGAAAACAGCUAUUGAUGGGCCUCCUCAGAUUCUGGAAUGUGUAUGUACUCAUUUGCUAGGGCUGCCAUAACAAAGUACCGCAGACCGGGGGCUUAAACCACCGAGAUUUAUUGGCUCACAGUUCUGGAGGCUGGAAGUAGGAAAGGGUUGGUUCCUUCUGAGGGCUGCAAGGAAGCAUUUGUUCCAGGCCUCUCCCCUUGGCUUGGAGAUGGCCAUUUCCUCCCUGUGUCCCUCAUAUCUUCUUCCCUCCACGCAUGUCUCAGUGUCCACAUUUCCCCUUUUUAUAAGAACUAUUUGUCAUAGUGGAUUAAGGCCCAAUCUAAUGAACUAAUUUUAACUUGAUUACCUCUACAAAUACAGUAGGUCCAAAUAAAGUCACUUUCUGAGGUCCUGGGGUUAGGGAUCCAAUGAAUGAACCUGGGGAGCAGAGGGAACACAUUUUACCGCCUAACAGCACAGUUCCUAAACAUGAGAUCUUUUUGCAUAGACCCCUGGGAAGUCCAGUGUUUAGUGGCCUGCCACUCCGUGUUUGGUGGCCUGUCAUGUCAGAGUGGCAGCCUGUCUUGCUGCAUCUAGAACUGUUCAAGCCAAAUGCUCAUCAGAAACUGAGACUCAGAUGAGGGGUGUGUGGGCACCAACCUGCCUUUCAGGUGUGGCUCUGGGAAGAGGGCUUCCAAGCAUGCUCAAGUGCCUAAGAGUCAGCCUAGUAACUAAAAUAAUACAAAACAAGACAGCAACAAGAUCACAUUUAUGUCGAUCAUACUGGCAGAAUGUUAAGACAGGACUGCAUUUUGAGAGGAGCACACACACCACACAUUGCUCAUGUCAGCAAAAAGUGGAACCACAUUUCUGGAAACAAUUUGGUGAUGUCAUCAAGGGCAUUUUUAAAAGUUGUAUAAUUUGACCCAAGAUUCCUGAUUUUAGAAAUUUUUCUUAGGAAACUAACAAGGGCUACAUUGAAAAUUUUCUAUAAAAAAAAAUUCUUCUCAGCAUCAAUUUUAAUAGUUAAAAAAAAAUCCCUGGAAAACAGCCUCAAUGUCCAACAAAAAGGGGAUAUGGCAUAUUCAUAUGAUGGAGUAGUGCAAUGAAACUAGGAGUUUUCAAAUAAUUAGAUUUAAUGACAAAUUUUUUUGAUAUAAGGUAAAAUAUUAAGUGAAGCAAGCUACAAACUUAUAAUACAUUAUGUAACAAACUAUAUUUAAAAUACUCAUAAAAAUAAUGGAAAUUUUAGCAAUUUUUUUGGUGAUAAGAUUAGAAACUUUUAUUUUUAAAUCUCUGUAUUUCCUAAACUUCUUGCAAAGAAUAUAUUUAGACAUUACCCCUGUAAAGCAGAAAGAAUAGCAAUUUUUUUUUAACUGCGUGCUUCCUUUUCUAUUUUCGCUUCUCUUCCUUCUCCUCUACCCUUACUUUCAACCAAGGCUAGAGGUUGAACAGUGACUUAAUGCUCACAAUGUCUAUUGCCCUAUUUGACCCAAUAGCUUUAGAUCUAUUUCUCAUUAUUAUUGCAUCCACUGUAACUUUUUCCAUACCCUGAUGCUCAUGCAAAUUACAAAAGAAUUUCCAGUUGUUUAACCUGUUAUUAUCUGUUUAACUUGUGAUUCACUUUCCCGUUGCUUUGGCUUGUAUAGUGACACUGGUGAAAAUGCUUUAGUGAAUGAGAAAUUAACUAACCAUGGAAUCAUAGUAAGAGUUAUAAGGACUUGAAGUGGAAAUGCCCUGGUGGAAUUACUGUCACAUAUAGACUACAUUUUUCUAUAUUUCUCUUGUAAUUCCUAACUUUGAGUUCCUCCCAGUAGGAAUACACUGUCCUUCAUGUACAAAUAUAAAUAUAUAAAUAUAGCAACAUUAUAGCACUUCAAACUUGUCAUGAACUUUUCCAAUCUUUUUAAAAUUCUGACAAGAUGACUUUCUAAUGAAAGAAUUUGAUCAUGUUAAUUUCCCAGUUUAAAAAUCUUUUAGUGGAUGUUGGGCUAUGCUACCUAGGUCCUCCUUUGGGUGCUGUGCUGUGCUACCUAGGUCCUCCUUUGGGUGCUGUGCUGUGCUACCUAGGUCCUCCUUUGGGUGCUGUGCUGUGCUACCUAGGUCCUCCUUUGGGUGCUGUGCUGUGCUACCUAGGUCCUCCUUUGGGGCUGAGCACCCCUUCUCCACAGUUGCCAGGAAUGUUGGGGCUAAUGUCUGUCAACUGAGUGGUUCCCCAGAAGGUACCCUCAGCUGAAGACAGCAGCUUCACCCAGGGCCACACCCCCUCCCUAGGAACAGCCAACCUCUGAUGACUGGUCAAUGCAGGGCUGUAGAGCUUGACCACCUUGCCUUCAGUUGGGGCAAAUCUGAAGGGUCAUCUCAGCUCUAGAGCUCCCUGUAAGAUCUGCCCUGCAGGUCACUUCUUUCCCCUGCCCACCUCUCCUUCCUUCAUUUGCCUACAGAUAUUGUUCCCAUGAACACUCUC